This 459-nucleotide ribosomal RNA is filed under the name uncultured bacterium. Its description in RNAcentral is "partial 16S ribosomal RNA". It matches the Rfam family "Bacterial small subunit ribosomal RNA", at positions 338 to 795 of the family's 1533-position model. The record is from RNAcentral.
CCUACGGGUGGCAGCAGUGAGGAAUAUUGGUCAAUGGGCGCGAGCCUGAACCAGCCAAGUCGCGUGAGGGAAGACGGUCCUAUGGAUUGUAAACCUCUUUUGUCGGGGAGCAAAAGACGCCACGUGUGGCGUUCCGAGAGUACCCGAAGAAAAAGCAUCGGCUAACUCCGUGCCAGCAGCCGCGGUAAUACGGAGGAUGCGAGCGUUAUCCGGAUUUAUUGGGUUUAAGGGGUGCGCAGGCGGAAGAUCAAGUCAGCGGUAAAAUUGAGGGGCUCAACCUCUUCGAGCCGUUGAAACUGGUAGUCUUGAGUGAGCGAGAGGUAUGCGGAAUGCGUGGUGUAGCGGUGAAAUGCAUAGAUAUCACGCAGAACUCCGAUUGCGAAGGCAGCAUACCGGCGCUAAACUGACGCUCAUGCACGAAAGUGUGGGUAUCGAACAGGAUUAGAUACCCGAGUAGUC